Molecule: long non-coding RNA, 2206 nt
Organism: Oncorhynchus tshawytscha (Chinook salmon)
Lineage: Eukaryota; Metazoa; Chordata; Actinopteri; Salmoniformes; Salmonidae
Source: Ensembl
AGCACUCCUACUCGGUUGCUUUAUGAAUACAGACCUAUAAAUGAUAGAAAAGCAUCUUAGAUGACAGCUUUUUAAUAUGGCCCAUGUUAAACAACAACAUUAAAAACAACUCCACUUAAUGCUUGUCUUUACCAAUCCUGUACCAAUCCUGUACCAGUCCUGUACCAAUCCUGCACCAAUCCUGUACCAGUCCUGCACCAAUCCUGUACCAAUCCUAUACCAGUCCUGUACCAAUCCUGUACCAAUCCUGUACCAAUCCUGUACCAGUCCUGUACAACCCUGUACCAACCCUGUACCAACCCUGUACCAGUCCUGCACCAAUCCUGUACCAGUCCUGUACCAAUCCUGUACCAGUCCUGUACCAUCCUGUACCAAUCCUGUACCAGUCCUGUACCAAUCCUGUACCAGUCCUGUACCAAUCCUGUACCAGUCCUGUACCAAUCCUGUACCAAUCCUGUACCAGUCCUGCACCAAUCAUGGAUGGAAUGGAUCCUCUGUGCCAUAAUAACUGAGAGAGAGAGAGACACACGGGUCUGUUGGGUCGAUAGAACCACUAAAGACAACAUUAAAGAGAGAUGUCAAACAUUUUUUUUACAACUUCAAAUUCAUCAUCUCCAUCACCACCUCAACGUCAACGUGUGAGAAAAUGACGCGUUUCUAUUUUUGUUGUUGUAGUAAACAAUAUAAUUACGAGCGUUGCCAAUGACAUGCAAUGGCUCCUCCAUAAUUGUUUAAAAUCACAUGAUGCACACUGAUGAUGUCAUUGGAGACACUUGUCUUCUUCUUUAAAGAAGAAAGGCUUCAUUUACACACAUGUUGAUGUUGGUGCUGCAUGAUGAAUAUAAAAUAUAAAUAUUUGGAAACAUUAAUACAUUUUUUUAUUUUAUUUAUUUUUUUAUUUAACUGACUUGCCUAGUUAAAUAAAGGUUAAGAACAAAUUCUUAUUUACAAUGACGGCCUAGGAACGGUGGGUUAACUGCCUUGUUCAGGGGCAGAACGAUAGAUUUUUACCUUGUCAGCUCGGGGAUUCCAUCUUGCAACCUUCCGGUAACUGGCCCAACGCUCUAACCACUAGGCUUACCCUGCCGAUUAGUGUAUCUAUCUAUUAUAUAUUUACAUAAUACUCUGGUAGAUAUUGGUGAUUGGUCUAUCUAUAUAUUUACAUAAUACGCUGGUAGAUAUUGGGAGAAGAAGACUAAUUCUUGCUAAUAGAAAAUGUUGAAAUGUACCUACCUGAUGCCAUUUAUUCAGUAAUAUAAUAUAUAGUAGAUGAUGGUAAGCUGAAGAAGCAGCACGAACAUGUCAACUUUACUGAGCACUGCUGUGCCCGUUAAUACAAAACCUGUUGAAUGAUCUACAGAACACAUUCAGAACCCAAAGAGAUAAGCAUUACGAAAUGCUUAUGUAGUGCUUAUGAAUGUUUUAUGGAUGGGUUAUGAAGUCCUUAUGUAGGUAGUACCCUUCAAGUAAAAUGUUGCCUGCCUUUUUCCAUAUUCAUAAUUACAUCUCUUAUUGACAGAGGGUCAGAAGGACUGGGUUGUGUUCAUUUGGGCACCAAACGGAAGAAAACAAAUUGAAAACGGGGUGGCACUAACUUGUUCAAUGAGAAAUGCACUUUUUUUUUCUCUUUCCGUUUGCAAUUUUUUUUUUUUUUUAAACCUUUUUAUUUUUUAUUUUUUUCAUUCUGUGCCCUAAAAAACAAGAGCUUGUCAUAAGUGGGCGCAAGUCAACAUUAUAAGUCAGUCAUUACAGAAUACAUAGUCUAUGACCAUUGGAACAAUGGAAACAUGCUACUUUACCUGUCGUUGUCCAUUUGUGAUGGGUGAAAGCGAAGGACAUUAAGACGGCACAGCAGGAUGUGCAUGUACAUUAUUGUAAAAUGUAAAGCAUACUGUAUUUUCAACUCUUAAGUUGUUUUUCGGCAUUUCUGUUUUUGUUUUGUGUUGACCUAAGUAAUGAACUGAAUUAACUGAAGGAAGUAUGACCGCGCUCUGUGCUACAGCGUUGGAACGUGUUGGUCUGAGCAAAUCCUGUUGCCGGGGAAAUGUGAUUUUAGUAAUGUUAUCGUUUAUGAACGAAUCUGUUACGAUUGAAAUGGAUAUGACUCGUCACUGUGGUUUCAUCUUCGCCAAUAAGGUUAUUUUCAUAUUGUUAAAGGCUUUCGUAGCUUCCCAUGCCAGUUGAAAAAUAAAGGUGUUGAACUGAA